Apis florea (little honeybee) is the source of this 1906-nucleotide long non-coding RNA. RefSeq lists it as uncharacterized. The record is from RefSeq and is a predicted model, not a curated record. Lineage: Eukaryota; Metazoa; Arthropoda; Insecta; Hymenoptera; Apidae.
UAUAUAUUUAUAAAUACAAAGAAAGCUUAUCGAUUGAAAUUGAAAAAAAUUUUUAAAUUUUCGUCUAGAAAAAUUUAGAAUUUUGCUCUUUAAAUUUAUAAGGAUAGUGCGAUUAAUGCAAUAACUGUUAUAAUCGAUCCUGUUGGAAUUGGUGUCGAGUUCGUUCUUUAAUAUAUAAGAGUCGACAAGUGAUCUUAUCAUCUGCGAAAAAAAAAAAAAAAAAAAUCACUAAUUCUUGUUAUGACGAAUAAGAUUGUGACUUGCGAUAUAGUUCUGGGAAUGUAACACUUUAUCGUUUCUCUUUAUUAUAGAGUGUUAUCGUGUUAAAGAUAAAUAAUAUACACAUAUAAUUAUAAGUAUAUAUAAUUUUUCAAUAUAAAAUUUUCCAAUAGAAAAAUAUAUUUAAAUCGUAGAUUGAUUGGAAAAACAUUUUUUUUUCUCGUGAAAUUAAAAAAUUUAAAAGAGAAACAUUCACGAUAUAUAUUAACUCAGACACGUUAACGUUAAAAAAUCCAACUAUUUUUUUUUUUUUUUUAGUUAAUAAAAAUUUUGUAAUUAAACGAAGAAGAAGAAGAAGAAGAAGAAGGAGCUUAUUGGUUUAUUUAUUGAUAUUAGACAUUUACUAGAUUUUUAGGGGAGAAGGAAAAUUCAUUUCAUCAACGGAAAAAGAUUUUGGAUCCUGGAUUGGCGCCACUGUCAUUAUCGACACUGAUAGAAUUAUUCUCACUAAUAUCGACAAAGGUUUUCACGAUAAAAUUAAACAAUAAAUAAUUAAUUAUUGAACCAAAGACAAAGUGGAUUAUUCCUAUUCAUCGAACAACAAUGAUGGAACAAAAUUGAUGAAUUGGAAAACAAUAAAGAAUUGGAAAAAAAUAAAGAGCAAAGGGAAACGAGAUUACUUUAUUUCUGGAAAAACCAGGUGUAUCAUAAUGGGAAUAAAACGGAUUGAAAGUGAAUGAAACUCGGUCGGUUCGGAAAUACCGGUAGAGAAAAUGGAAGAAAGAAACGUUGAUCUUGACGUCACCUGUUUAGAAUAGUAUAUGGUCAAAAUACGUAUAUAAAAAUAUAUUUGUAUAAGAAGAAGAAGAAGAAGAAGAAGAAGAAGAAAAGGAAAUAUUGUCAAAUUGUGAUUAAAAGUGGAAGUAUGUUAACAGAUAGAUUUCGAAACGAGGAGAACUCGAGAAUUAUUAACGUCACAUUUAUAAUAAUUGAUUGAAAUAAGCCAGGAAACAUUUAAAGUUUAUCUUUCGUGGGGCACGUGUCAAAGCACGUGCUCGAAAACAGACGUUGCACAAUUGAUUCUGAUCGUUACAUAAUAAUAAUAAAUACAUUUUGGAUCGAGUAUUCUUAAAAUUUUAUGAAAUUUGCAUAUUAUCGGUCGUAUUGAACAAAUAUUCAAAAAAAAAACAAAUCGUUUACAUAUAAUUUGUAUAAGAUUUCAAUCAACAACAAUUUCCAAUAUGAGCAUUGAACCACCGUGGAUGUUGAAGUGAAUCGCAUCAAAAUUGUUGCAUAGAUUACCUGAGAAAUCAGUUUUUCUUAUUCAAGAUAUCCUCUAAUAAAACGAAGAAUAUUUUAAUCCCAUGGCUCGAAAAACCACGUUCUAACGGAAUUUAUACGAAGGAAGAUUCAGAUGGAGAAAAGAGUACGUUUAAAGAUGUUCAGGAAGAGUAAACGACCUUCGAAUCUAUUGCUCCAUGCAAAGAUGAAAGUUAAGAUGAACAAAAUCAUCGCGAAAAUUACACGAUUAUACAAAUUAUUACGAGAAAGUAACGGAAUCAGGUCAAUUCUAAUCAAGAAAGCCUUACUGCGGAUAAGAAAGAGAAGAGAAUUUUUCUAACGUGGGAUAUUCCAAAAAUUCCCCAAUAGUCGUAUACAAUAAUAAUAAUAAUGUAUUACUCUCUCA